RNAcentral lists this ribosomal RNA (486 nucleotides) under uncultured bacterium. Its description in RNAcentral is "partial 16S ribosomal RNA". It matches the Rfam family "Bacterial small subunit ribosomal RNA", at positions 30 to 507 of the family's 1533-position model. The record is from RNAcentral.
AUUGAACGCUGGCGGCAUGCCUUACACAUGCAAGUCGAACGGCAGCACGGGUGCUUGCACCUGGUGGCGAGUGGCGAACGGGUGAGUAAUACAUCGGAACAUGUCCUGUAGUGGGGGAUAGCCCGGCGAAAGCCGGAUUAAUACCGCAUACGAUCUACGGAUGAAAGCGGGGGACCUUCGGGCCUCGCGCUAUAGGGUUGGCCGAUGGCUGAUUAGCUCGUUGGUGGGGUAAAGGCCUACCAAGGCGACGAUCAGUAGAUGGUCUGAGAGGACGACCAGCCACACUGGGACUGAGACACGGCCCAGACUCCUACGGGAGGCAGCAGUGGGGAAUUUUGGACAAUGGGCGAAAGCCUGAUCCAGCAAUGCCGCGUGUGUGAAGAAGGCCUUCGGGUUGUAAAGCACUUUUGUCCGGAAAGAAAUCCUUGGCUCUAAUACAGUCGGGGGAUGACGGUACCGGAAGAAUAAGCACCGGCUAACUACGUG